This 433-nucleotide ribosomal RNA is filed under the name uncultured bacterium. RNAcentral describes it as "partial 16S ribosomal RNA". It matches the Rfam family "Bacterial small subunit ribosomal RNA", at positions 29 to 507 of the family's 1533-position model. The record is from RNAcentral.
AACGAACGCUGGCGGCAUGCCUAACACAUGCAAGUCGAACGAGACCUUCGGGUCUAGUGGCGCACGGGUGCGUAACGCGUGGGAACCUGCCCUUAGGUUCGGAAUAACUCCCCGAAAGGGGUGCUAAUACCGGAUAAUGUCUUCGGACCAAAGAUUUAUCGCCUUUGGAUGGGCCCGCGUUGGAUUGGCUAGUUGUUAGGGUAAAAGCCUACCAAGGCGACGAUCCAUAGCUGGUCUGAGAGGAUGAUCAGCCACACUGGGACUGAGACACGGCCCAGACUCCUACGGGAGGCAGCAGUGGGGAAUAUUGGACAAUGGGCGAAAGCCUGAUCCAGCAAUGCCGCGUGAGUGAUGAAGGCCUUAGGGUUGUAAAGCUCUUUUACCCGGGAUGAUAAUGACAGUACCGGGAGAAUAAGCGCCGGCUAACUCCGUG